GAUCAUGGCUCAGGAUGAACGCUAGCUACAGGCUUAACACAUGCAAGUCGAGGGGUAGCAGGGUAGCAAUACCGCUGACGACCGGCGCACGGGUGAGUAACACGUAUCCAACUUCCCAUAACUCUGGGAUAGCCUUUCGAAAGAAAGAUUAAUACCGGAUGGACUUUUUUCAAGGCAUCCUGAGAAAGUUAAAGAUUUAUUGGUUAUGGAUGGGGAUGCGUUCCAUUAGAUAGUUGGUGAGGUAACGGCUCACCAAGUCUUCGAUGGAUAGGGGUUCUGAGAGGAAGGUCCCCCACAUUGGUACUGAGACACGGACCAAACUCCUACGGGAGGCAGCAGUGAGGAAUAUUGGUCAAUGGGCGAGAGCCUGAACCAGCCAAGUAGCGUGAAGGAUGAAGGUCCUAUGGAUUGUAAACUUCUUUUAUAGUAGAAUAAAGUGACCCACGUGUGGGUUUUUGUAUGUAUACUAUGAAUAAGGAUCGGCUAACUCCGUGCCAGCCGCCGC
This 505-nucleotide ribosomal RNA is filed under the name uncultured bacterium. RNAcentral's name for it is "bacterial SSU rRNA". It matches the Rfam family "Bacterial small subunit ribosomal RNA", at positions 15 to 518 of the family's 1533-position model. The record is from RNAcentral.